GCCCCGUUAACUCAGUCGGUAGAGUGGUGGUCUUAUGAGCCUCUGGCCACGGGUUCGAGCCCCGUACGGGGCA
Molecule: transfer RNA, 73 nt
Filed under: Haematococcus lacustris
Lineage: Eukaryota; Viridiplantae; Chlorophyta; Chlorophyceae; Chlamydomonadales; Haematococcaceae
Description: Haematococcus pluvialis tRNA
Rfam family: tRNA
About the family: Transfer RNA (tRNA) molecules are approximately 80 nucleotides in length. Their secondary structure includes four short double-helical elements and three loops (D, anti-codon, and T loops).
Source: Rfam by way of RNAcentral